This 194-nucleotide ribosomal RNA is filed under the name Escherichia coli. RNAcentral describes it as "partial 16S ribosomal RNA". It matches the Rfam family "Bacterial small subunit ribosomal RNA", at positions 1 to 188 of the family's 1533-position model. The record is from RNAcentral. Lineage: Bacteria; Pseudomonadati; Pseudomonadota; Gammaproteobacteria; Enterobacterales; Enterobacteriaceae.
AAAUUGAAGAGUUUGAUCAUGGCUCAGAUUGAACGCUGGCGGCAGGCCUAACACAUGCAAGUCGAACGGUAACAGGAAACAGCUUGCUGUUUCGCUGACGAGUGGCGGACGGGUGAGUAAUGUCUGGGAAACUGCCUGAUGGAGGGGGAUAACUACUGGAAACGGUAGCUAAUACCGCAUAAUGUCGCAAGACC